This 303-nucleotide ribosomal RNA is filed under the name uncultured bacterium. Its description in RNAcentral is "partial 16S ribosomal RNA". It matches the Rfam family "Bacterial small subunit ribosomal RNA", at positions 510 to 808 of the family's 1533-position model. The record is from RNAcentral.
AGCAGUGCCGCGGGAAUACGAAGGGGGCUAGCGUUGUUCGGAAUUACUGGGCGUAAAGGGCGCGUAGGCGGCCAUUCAAGUUAGAUGUGAAAGCCCUGGGCUCAACCUAGGAAUUGCAUUUGAUACUGUUUGGCUUGAGUUCGGGAGAGGUGAGUGGAAUUCCCAGUGUAGAGGUGAAAUUCGUAGAUAUUGGGAAGAACACCAGUGGCGAAGGCGGCUCACUGGACCGACACUGACGCUGAGGCGCGAAAGCGUGGGGAGCAAACAGGAUUAGAGACCCCUGUAGUCCCUGUCUCUUAUACA